GACGAACGCUGGCGGCGUGCUUAACACAUGCAAGUCGAACGGUGAAAGCGGAGCUUGCUCCGCUGGAUCAGUGGCGAACGGGUGAGUAACACGUGGGCAACCUGCCCUUCACUUCGGGAUAACUCCGGGAAACCGGGGCUAAUACCGGAUAUGACCUCCUUGGGCAUCCUUGGAGGUGGAAAGUUUUUCGGUGAGGGAUGGGCCCGCGGCCUAUCAGCUUGUUGGUGAGGUAGUGGCUCACCAAGGCGACGACGGGUAGCCGGCCUGAGAGGGCGACCGGCCACACUGGGACUGAGACACGGCCCAGACUCCUACGGGAGGCAGCAGUGGGGAAUAUUGCGCAAUGGGCGAAAGCCUGACGCAGCAACGCCGCGUGCGGGAUGACGGCCUUCGGGUUGUAAACCGCUUUCAGCAGGGAAGAAGCCGCAAGGUGACGGUACCUGCAGAAGAAGCACCGGCUAACUACGUGCCAGCCGCCGUAAUAC
RNAcentral lists this ribosomal RNA (485 nucleotides) under uncultured bacterium. RNAcentral describes it as "partial 16S ribosomal RNA". It matches the Rfam family "Bacterial small subunit ribosomal RNA", at positions 28 to 526 of the family's 1533-position model. The record is from RNAcentral.